AAUGGGUCAGCGACUUAUAUUCUGUAGCAAGGUUAACCGAAUAGGGGAGCCGAAGGGAAACCGAGUCUUAACUGGGCGUUAAGUUGCAGGGUAUAGACCCGAAACCCGGUGAUCUAGCCAUGGGCAGGUUGAAGGUUGGGUAACACUAACUGGAGGACCGAACCGACUAAUGUUGAAAAAUUAGCGGAUGACUUGUGGCUGGGGGUGAAAGGCCAAUCAAACCGGGAGAUAGCUGGUUCUCCCCGAAAGCUAUUUAGGUAGCGCCUCGUGAAUUCAUCUCCGGGGGUAGAGCACUGUUUCGGCAAGGGGGUCAUCCCGACUUACCAACCCGAUGCAAACUGCGAAUACCGGAGAAUGUUAUCACGGGAGACACACGGCGGGUGCUAACGUCCGUCGUGAAGAGGGAAACAACCCAGACCGCCAGCUAAGGUCCCAAAGUCAUGGUUAAGUGGGAAACGAUGUGGGAAGGCCCAGACAGCCAGGAUGUUGGCUUAGAAGCAGCCAUCAUUUAAAGAAAGCGUAAUAGCUCACUGGUCGAGUCGGC
RNAcentral lists this ribosomal RNA (544 nucleotides) under Escherichia coli. RNAcentral's name for it is "partial 23S ribosomal RNA". It matches the Rfam family "Bacterial large subunit ribosomal RNA", at positions 614 to 1158 of the family's 2925-position model. Lineage: Bacteria; Pseudomonadati; Pseudomonadota; Gammaproteobacteria; Enterobacterales; Enterobacteriaceae. The record is from RNAcentral.